Lycium barbarum (goji berry) is the source of this 5117-nucleotide long non-coding RNA. RefSeq lists it as uncharacterized. The record is from RefSeq and is a predicted model, not a curated record. NCBI's taxonomy places the organism in Eukaryota, Viridiplantae, Streptophyta, Magnoliopsida, Solanales, Solanaceae. The transcript is spliced from 5 exons.
GGCAUUGAAAUUUCUGCAAGAAGCUAUAAAUGGGGCCUUAGUCCAAUCAGUCUUGACAAGUCCACCUACUGUAGCCCAAUCAUCUGCAUCCCAUAAACUUGAGUAUAUCCACAUUGGUUGUUCUUUUGGAUAAGGGAUCCCACUUGCUUCCAUAUUCUUGGAUUGCCUAAUCGGUGUCCCAUCUACUGAAAAGCUGAUUUUGUUUAAUAAAUAAAAUAGGAAAAAAGAAUAGUAAUUAGUAAGUAAUCAAUCUACAUGGACAAAUUAAGUUCAAGAAAUAUAUAAUUACAGGAAAUUCUCUCGUUUUUCAUUAAUGAAAAUUUUGAUCCUUGAAUUAAGUUGUUUUAUGAUGCUGACUGUUGACACUUGACAUAAAGAACACCUUUUUAAAAUUAUAUGGUACAAAACACUUGCGAAAACAAACAAAAACUGCUAAUAUCUCAAUCAUUGUGAUUUAUUGAUUCUGAUUAAUCAUUCUUACUGUUGUAUACCAUUUCGAUGUAUAAAGUAUAAAUUGUACAUUUUUAAGGUAUACAAUAUACAUAACUGUUGCAUAUAAUUAUUUAAGGAGAAACUUUAUAAAUAGAUACUGGUUAGUAAAAACUCCCUUCGUCCCAAUUUAAGUUUCUUACUUUCCUUUUUGGUCUGUUUUAAAGUGUUCCUUUCUAUAUUUGAUAAGUUUUCCAAUUUCAACAUUCUACCUAACAAGUUUAAGAUCAUAAGAUUAAAGAACUACGCACAUAUUUAAUUUAAGAUUACAAAAUUCAAAAAUCUCUUUUUAUUUGUUGAAUUUCAUGUCCGGUCAAAUUAAGACACUAAAAUUGAGACAAAAGAAAGUAGGUUAUUCUGACUAGGUAAUCAUGAAAAAGCCCCUAAAAGAAAGGUACAUAAGAAAUAUCAAGACUAAGUAAAUAUCAAAGUAUAGAAGCUAGUAAAAUGUGUCGAGAGACAGGAGCUAAUUACAUGAUGCUCUGAGGAUUCCAAAGAAUAGAAUAAUAAGUAUGGAAGUCCUUAGUGGGUCGAACCAAAGAUAAAAUUGCUGCUCUCUAUCUCCCUUUCCUUGUGUGUAUACAUUUGUGUGAAGAGUAUAGGGCUCUCCACUUACAUUCCCAAGAAACUCAAAGUCAAUCUCGUCAUGAUUUGAUCCUACUGAUGAUAGCUGCAUUUUAUAAUCCACACCAUUAAAACUCAACGUAUAAAUUAAAAUUUACAUAUUUAGAAAUUAAUCACGUAAAAAAUAUUAUAAAUCAUAAUAAUAAAUAAUUUAAAAUAUUUAAAAGACAUUUGAAAAAAUUACAGUUAAAUAAAGACUUGUUUGAAUAUUGAAAUUUGAAAGAUGCCACGUAAAUUAGGACGGAUGAAACAAUAUAAUAUUCAUAAAGUAACCCUUAAGCAGUUUGUCAAAUCAAUAGAUGCUUCCGUAGAAAAAAGACUUACAUAAUAUGCAGUAACGGUGCCAGCAGAAUUAUCAGGGACAAGUUUGAAAUUCAAAUCAAUCUUUCCAAACAAGUAAUGAUUUUUGGACCUAAAACCAUAGCCAGACAUUCUGUCAAGGGGAAGCGUGAGAAAUUGUCCAUCUUCGAGUAUUUUGGCACGGCCAUCACCCCUUGUAAUAUCAAAAGCUUGGUAGAAAUUUCGAGCCAACACUAGGGCCCAAGACUUUUAUAAUUCAAAAAUAAUUUUUUGGAACUAAAAUAAUCUAUUAAAAAAAAAACCCUUAAAUAGCCUUUACGUACAGAUUAUGUGCGUAAAAGGAUCAAAGUGUACAUUUACACUUAAGUCUUUUUACGCACAGAAUUUGUGCAUAAAAGAGGUAGAAUAUAUCGGGCCCUUCUUCUUCCCCACUGGUCCCCUUAAUUAAAAAACAAAAAAAAUGAAAAUCAGCCAUUAAAGGUCCUUUUUCAAGUUCCCACGCGAUCAAAAAUAUCGUUUUCUUGUUGAUUUCCAACCCAAAAGUGGUAUAUUGAAGUCUAGGAAUAAGUUUCUUCGCAAUAAAGCAGCGUAUAAUUCAAUUCAAAAACUCAAAAUCAAAGCUUUAAUCUAGGUAUUUCACUACGAUUUUUUUAUUACAUUAUUAACCUAAGCAUUACUAUUGUGCGAAUAUGGACAAAAAAAAACUUUUUACGCACUUUUUUUGUGCGCAAAAGGGUUGUUUUCAGCCCGUUUUUUCAUUUUUUUUUAAUUUUUUUUGUUCAUUUGUUGUUAAUUUGUUAAUUGUUUAUUUAUUAACCUAAGCAUUACUAUUGUGUGAAUAUCGACAAAAAAAAAACUUUUACGCACUUUUUUUGUGCGCAAAAGGGUUGUUUUCAACCCGUUUUUUCAUUUUUUUAUUUGUUUAUUUGUUGUUAAUUUGUUAAUUGUUUAUUUAGUAUUUGGUAAUUGUUAUAUUAGUUAUUUCAAUUGUUAGACUAGCUAAUUAUUUAUUUAGUUUUUGUUAAGCCAAUUGUUUAUUUGUUAAUUAUUUGAUUAGUUAGUUAAUUGUUUAUUUAUUAAUUAUAUGCUAAUUGUUUGCUAGCUAAUUGUUAAUUUUCUAAUCAUUAAUUAUUAAUCUUUAUAUCUUUAAUUGUUAAUUUAUUUAUUUGCUAAUUAGAAAUUGAAACUCGUUAGUUUAGGAUUCAAUCCUUUGUACGUAAAAGAUUACAUAACUAAUACUACGUAUUAGAGAUUAAUUAAAAAAAUAAUGAUUAAUUUAAAAUGCGUAAAAAAUAUACCACUUUAAUCCUUACUUCAUGUAUUAAUGAUUAAUUUAAAAUGCCUAAAAUAGAUAGAACACCACCAUGGAGUCGGGACCCUUCGACAACAGAGAGGUACUUUAUCUAUAGCAUGAGCAUAGGUCCCAGUAUGUAUGGGAUGCACCGAUAUCCUCUAGUAGAGUGGUCCGUACCCGUUCGGGGGAGUCAGCAUGUGAUAUUCUAGAGGCUAUUCCCCCACAUCCCCGUGUCAUAGAUAUACUACGUCGGGGCGGUAUCUACCGGUGCAUCGAGGUUGGUCGGCUUGUGCACGAUAGGGCUCUUGUGACGGCCAUGAUUGAGCGCUGGCGACCGGAGACCCAUACAUUUCAUCUCCGCACUGGCGAGGCUAUCAUUACCCUGCAGGAUGUCGAGGUGAUUUAUGGUCUACAGAUUGAUGGACAGACAUUGUAUAGAGUGGAGCCUCUGGAGAUGCUACCGUAUCGCUAGGAGUUGACUAGGCUCACUGGUUUCAAGCCUCUGCAGAGGGAUAUGCGUGGACGGAGUCGGUUGUUGCGGUCUUCCCUCCAUGCUCACUUGCGCCUCGUAGAUCUGCAGGGUCCGAUUGACGAGGCGACGCCUCAGGCUGAUGUUGACCGACGUGCUCGCUUAUAUCUUCUCAUCAUAUUCGGGGGCAUCAUGUUCCUGAACACGUCGGGUGCGGAUAUAAGCAUUAGGUAUCUGCUCUUUAUUGAGGACCUAGACCAGCUGGGAUGUUAUAGUUGGGGCGCCGCUGUCCUGGCUUACAUGUAUAGAGGAUUUGAUCGAGCCUCUAUGGGCGAGAGGCUUGAGGUCGCUGCAUUUAGCCCUCUUCUUCAGAUAUGGGUGUGGACUAGGUUGAGACCUUUUCAGCCCAUAGCUGCUCACCCUCCUGAUAACUAUGUUGCUGAGGAUAUGCCAUACGCGUGGAGAUAGUCGCGCCCAAGGCUUUCAUAUGGACACCGUAUGAUCAGAUUUUGGGUCAGCUGCCAGCAAUUUGUAGGGUUGGUGAGCACAUGUGGAUUGCACGGUGUUCAUUGAUCCAUAUGGACAUCGUUGAGUAUCACGCACCCGACUGCGUAUUAUGGCAGUUUGGGCAUGUACAGAACAUACCCGCGACUACACGUUGGGAGCACACCCACUACACCAGGGACGAGCGUCCGAUCGACAGUGCGGCAUGGCGGGCGCGUAUGCACUAGGAAGUCGAUGCAUGGAACGCGAGGAUGACGACUCUAGCGGCGGUCAGACAUGACACUCCGAUCCAUGAGUACAUGACGUGGUACAUGCAUAUCACUCGCUCCUUGAUUGCCAACCGCUCGACGCCGCGUCCUGAUGGCCGAGGAUAUGCAUCACUCUCAGGAGCGUAUGAGGCGCUGCUACGAAUGACUCUGAUGAUACGCCAUGAGAGCAUUCCCCUUACAGAGUCCACCGACCCCGGAUAGCGGCAUAUGCAUCACAGAUAGUUUAUCUUACUGACACUGGUAUGACACGGGCACAAGAGUGGCAUCGUGUCGAUGAGGAUGUACCAAAGGGUGUUCCUGAGGGUGGUAGGGCUGAUAGAGGUGGUCGGGCUGAUAGAAGUGGUCGGGCUGGCAGAGGUGAUCUGGCUGGCAGAGGUGGUCGAGCUGGCAGAGGUCUAGUAGAUGAGCCUGACGAUAUAGCCUGUCAGGCUCCGUCAGCUAUAAAUAUCCCGUCGACCUCUUCUUCCAAGCCGUCGACUUCACAGAGACCUGGAUAUACGCCAGAGAUGGUCCCACAUUAUGAUCCUUGGUCAUUAUUUGCACAUGUGCCAGUUAGUGAUCUAUAUAUGGGAGGCGGAGAUGAGGACAUAGACUUGGAUAUUAUUUUCGUGACUACUUUCUUCUUGCUACAGCCAGGCCUACGGCACCAUUUGCAUCUCCGGCUCCUCGGGCCGCUCAGGAGCCCUCUCACAUGCCAUCUCAGGAGCCUGUCGACACACUUGUUUGUUUUUUUACAAUAAAAUAAUGUAUUAAUUAAUUAUUUUAUUAAUCUAAACUAAAUUAUUUACAUGUAUUAUAGGUUCAUUCUUCUGCGCCUGUGGACCCGUCUCCGCCUGUUCAGAUUGACACGUCUCCACCUCUAGCUACAACUCUGGGUAGCGCUCAGGUGACCGUUGAGGAGCCAGCUAAGGAGCCCUCUGACCAGCCAUCUCAGGAGGCCGUCGACACACAGGUUCAUUCUUCUGCUCCUGUGGUCCAGUCUCCUCCGAUUGAGUCAUCUCCUGAGGCUACUCAGGUGGAGACCGCCGCCGUCUCCCACAGGAAGCAUAUUUUCACCCAGGGCCUGAAGAAGGGAAGAAAGGAUGAUCAUGCCAUAAAUCAUCCUAUCAUUAAGAGGAGGAGAGAGGAUCCUGAUGAUACUGAGGGUGGUGGGGUUAGGAGGAUCCUU